UCCCCAUAUUCCCCUCCUGGAUACCCUCUGUCAGAUUGGGCAAGUUUAGCGAGUAGGAGAAGGUCAUUAGACUUGCUGUUAAGACACUUCACCUCAGAGCAGAGAAAGAAUUCUUGUCAAGGCCAAGACCAACUUCUUUGUUUUUAUCUUUAUUUGUUUAUUCACUGGUUCCUUAAUUUACAUUUUGGUACCAGAUAUUAACCCAGCUGUGCUUAACCUCCGAGCCACCUCCACGUCCCUUUCUAUGUUUAUUUUUUAUUUUGAGACAGUGUCUCUCUGAGUUGGUUAGGGCCUCCUUAAGUAGCCAAGGCUGGCCUUGAACUUGUGGAUCUUCCUGCCUCAGCCUCCCUCCUGAGUGGCUGGGAUUACAAGCAUGUUACCUUUUAGGCUAUUCUUUUUUUUAAGUGACAGAGAUCUGAAGAUGUUUAGCUGACAGAGAUUAAGAUUGAACCAGUGGGACAGUAUAUGGAAGGACACCUGGAGCCGGGAGCUGAGGAUGGGAUUCCCAUCAGAUGGAGAGUGGACCGGUGGAAGGCCCCCUUGACGCCUGAGACAGGAGGAAGGACACAGAUCCCAGUAGAAAGUGGAGCCCCUCCAUUGGUGGGCACCAUCCAGCUGGUGACAUGGGUAGAAACAGAAGCCUUUACAACUUGGGCACAUGUGCAUUGCCAGGCGCUCUUACCAUUGGUUACUAAGAUAGUUUCUAGUUCUUCAAUAUUUUAAGCAAUGACAAGUUAUAUUUUUUAAAAAAUCUAGCCUUUAUUUAUUUGUUGUUGGUUUGUUUUUUAUGUGGUGCUGAGGAUCGAACCCAGGGCCUUACCUGUCCUAGGCAGGCAGUCUACCACUGAGCCACAGCGCAGCCAAGAAAGUGAUUUUUUUAAUCAGCUUUUUUUCUUUAAAAAAGUUUCAAAAGCUCUGCUGACCCAGAUGGUAAAGGUGGACUUGCACACCAGUCACAGCAAUGGGGACAACCAGGACUAAUAGUGAAACAGAAUGACCGCAGCCCUCUACCGAAGGAAAGCCUGUGUGAACGCAUCUUCCUCCCAGAGCAUGGGGCACUGCACCCACCGCUCCUCUUGUGGCCAAGUGAGGUGCCACCGUGCCACAGAGGGGGGUGAGGAGUAUCCCCUCCUUUAUUAGGAGAAGUUGUCUGUGUCACUUGAAGAUGAGCUGUGUGCCAUGUGACCACCGCACAGUCACAGGAGGCAGCAGAGAGGAACACUGUGUUUCCUUCAAAGAGACAGGGUCUCACUGAGUUGCUUAAGGCCUUGCCAAAUUGCUGAGGCGGGCUUUGAACUGGUGAUCCUCUUACCUCAGCCUCCCGGGAUUACAGGCGUGUACCAACAUGCCUGGACAAGCAACACUUCCAAUCCUCUUGUACAGACUACAAAGAGAGACCAAGAGAGUAAUAUGGCUUUAUAAUACUUUUGUAACCUCUAGGUCUGUAUGUGGGCACCUGAUCAAGACUGCAGUAAGGAAUGUUUUGAUGUUUUCUUGAAUAAAAUGGUCUUUGACCAAACUUUUAUUGGUAUUGUUUAGCUUAGAGUUUUAGUAGCUUUUAUUUUCAAUAUUAUCAAUAAAUGCUCAUGUUUUUGAUAUCAUUAAGGUCAGUCUACAAGUUUUGUAUAAAUUAAGUCUAUUUCUGCUACCUUUAAAGAAAUGAAACCUCAUUUUGU
Long non-coding RNA from Marmota monax (woodchuck), 1676 nucleotides. RefSeq lists it as uncharacterized. The record is from RefSeq and is a predicted model, not a curated record. NCBI's taxonomy places the organism in Eukaryota, Metazoa, Chordata, Mammalia, Rodentia, Sciuridae. The transcript has 4 exons.